Molecule: ribosomal RNA, 1191 nt
Filed under: metagenome
Description: bacterial SSU rRNA
Rfam family: Bacterial small subunit ribosomal RNA
Source: RNAcentral
UCCUACGGGAGGCAGCAGUGGGGAAUUUUGGACAAUGGGGGCAACCCUGAUCCAGCCAUGCCGCGUGAGUGAAGAAGGCCUUCGGGUUGUAAAGCUCUUUCGGCCGGGAAGAAAUCGCAUGGGCCAAUACCCUGUGUGGAUGACGGUACCGGAAUAAGAAGCACCGGCUAACUACGUCCAGCAGCCGCGGUAAUACGUAGGGUGCGAGCGUUAAUCGGAAUUACUGGGCGUAAAGCGUGCGCAGGCGGUUUUGUAAGACAGGCGUGAAAUCCCCGGGCUCAACCUGGGAACUGCGUUUGUGACUGCAAGGCUAGAGUACGGCAGAGGGGGGUGGAAUUCCACGUGUAGCAGUGAAAUGCGUAGAGAUGUGGAGGAACACCAAUGGCGAAGGCAGCCCCCUGGGUCGAUACUGACGCUCAUGCACGAAAGCGUGGGUAGCAAACAGGAUUAGAUACCCUGGUAGUCCACGCCCUAAACUAUGUCAACUAGGUGUUGGGUGGGUAAAACCAUUUAGUACCGUAGCUAACGCGUGAAGUUGACCGCCUGGGGAGUACGGCCGCAAGGUUAAAACUCAAAGGAAUUGACGGGGACCCGCACAAGCGGUGGAUGAUGUGGAUUAAUUCGAUGCAACGCGAAAAACCUUACCUACCCUUGACAUGCCAGGAACUUGCCAGAGAUGGCUUGGUGCCCGAAAGGGAGCCUGGACACAGGUGCUGCAUGGCUGUCGUCAGCUCGUGUCGUGAGAUGUUGGGUUAAGUCCCGCAACGAGCGCAACCCUUGUCGUUAAUUGCCAUCAUUUAGUUGGGCACUUUAGCGAGACUGCCGGUGACAAACCGGAGGAAGGUGGGGAUGACGUCAAGUCCUCAUGGCCCUUAUGGGUAGGGCUUCACACGUCAUACAAUGGUCGGUACAGAGGGUCGCCAAGCCGCGAGGUGGAGCCAAUCCCAGAAAGCCGAUCGUAGUCCGGAUUGCAGGCUGCAACUCGCCUGCAUGAAGUCGGAAUCGCUAGUAAUCGUGGAUCAGCAUGUCACGGUGAAUACGUUCCCGGGUCUUGUACACACCGCCCGUCACACCAUGGGAGCGGGUUCCGCCAGAAGUAGGUAGCCUAACCGCAAGGAGGGCGCUUACCACGGCGGGGUUCGUGACUGGGGUGAAGUCGAAACAAGGUAGCCGUAGGGGAACCUGCGGCUG